CGAAGGCAAUGAUUGAAAAAAGUGGGGGUACAACGUGCAUUGGAAGAGUUCUGGCCAGUAUUCGCGUGUUGCACUGAAGCUAGAACUACUAAUUGCGUUGCACCUGUACGAACGAAGCGCGCCAUCGUGGGCAUAUAAUUUUAAUCUUGUUUUUCGCGACGACUUCUUUUUUUCGCCCCGGUUCCUUCUUCCGCUUUCUUCCGUCCGCGAUUUAUUUUCACGUGUAACGAUAUCGUUCGUUGGUUUCGAGACCGAGGAAACCGGAAGUUGUUCACAUGAGCCGAGGAUCCAUCUCCAGUUGGCAAGAUUAUGGACGCAGAAAUUCUCAAAUUAUGCCACAAUUUAGUGGCGCUCCCGUGGAAUUUAUGACUAGCGAUGACAUCGAGUGUAAAAGAGGCGAUGGUUGGUUUUUAUCGUACACAAAGAUAGCGGGGAUCGUCGUAGUUUUUAUUAUCGGUGUCGUUGCCGCAGGAUUUCUUGGAUGGUACAUCAAUUCGUUACCCAAGAAAAAACCUUUCACAACUCUAGAUUUGCUCAACGAUGAAAUCGAGGAUACUGAGGGCGUCGGUGAAAAUGCGGUUUCACCUUUCAUUCAUCCCUUGAAAUAUCGUCUCGAAUUAACACCGAUUAUCGAUAUUAACGGUCCAUCAAGGGUAAUGGGCCGGAUGGUUAUCGAUUUUCUCGUAAACGAUACAGCGGGUUUAAAUAAAUUCUCUCUAAAUGCGAAGAACAUUACGGUGACGAGAUAUAAAUUAUCAUCGUUGGAUUUAGAAAAAAAGACGACGAGAAAAAGACGAAGAAGAAGAGCCAAUGAUGUUGUUAAUGACAACGCGAUGUCUGGUAGUAGUGUAUAUUCUAUAGAAAAUGACGUCUUGGUAAGCUUGACGGAAAACGAAACGAUUCUGUACGAGAAAAAUAUUGAGCAUCUAUCGAAAAACGUGUCCUCCAUUGAAAAAACCAAGCUUUCCUCGUUAAAUUAUGCCUCUGUUUCCAAUAUCGAUAAAAUUAAAAAUUCGAACGUGGAUGAUAAACAAUAUGAAUCCGUGAUGACACCUGAUGAUUCUUUUAAAAGUGUCUCAUCGAAUGAAAUACAGAUUGCAGAAUACAAUAUAGACGAAGAUAAAGAAGUUCACACAAUUCAAUUGAAAACUCGGAUAUAUCAAGGAGUUUAUUCAUUUGAGAUCGAAUACGAGGCGUUAAUCGACGAAAAUGUAUUCUUCAUCGCAAAUUAUAGCACAUUUGGCGAAGAGAGCAGAUGGUUAAUGGGGACGAAAUUGAAACACUCCGGUGCUCGAUGUCUUUUCCCAGUUUUCGACGAUACCGUGCACAAGUCAGUUUUCUCGGUAUCCAUAACACGUUCCAAAGAAAUGAUAGUACUCUCAAAUAUGCCCCUCAGGACUUUAAGGGAUGUGACAAACACUUUAAUGGCAGUUAAUAUUUUUGACGAUUCUCCGCCUAUGUCUCCGCAUAAUUUGGCCUUUAUAAUGGGUCAUAUCGAGACUAUAAACGCGACGUUUGUAGGAGACACUGAAGUCUUGGCAACGUUCUGGUGUGAUUCCAACAGAAGCUCACAAGAGACUUAUUUAAUCGACAAACUGAACACAGUUGUCGUUAACCUAAUCGACGUAUUUUCGACGUCUUAUCCCUUGCCUAAGAUAGAUAUAGUAAGCCUUCCUCCAGGGAUUGACGAGAAUAUCGGAAGUUUGGGAUUAAUUGCACUGAAGCAGUCGAUAUUCUAUACGACCGAUGAAUCGCCACUAGUCACGAAAAACAACGCUCUGAAGAUUCUAGUCACCUUAAUGGGGCAGCAAUGGCUCGACGAAUUUAUGAAUGCGAAUCGAACGGAUGCUUGGAUCUUCGAAAGUUUUCUCAUAUACAUCCAGCACGAGAUCGUUCCAAAGAUAGAUUCGUCAUUGGGCUUGAGUAACUCUUUCAUCGUGGAUGUCGAGUUUCAAGUGAUGGACACCGAUGGGUACAGCAUCUCGAGGCCUCUUCACGAGAACAUCAAUUAUCAUCUGUUGCAGAAUUUUAACGACGAACACGCGAAAGGUGCAUGCCUGAUACGCAUGUUGCAUGGCGCGAUAAACGAUACCGACUUUAGGAACAACUACAAGAAACUGAUAAACAGGUGGAAAUAUAACAGCACGGAUGUAGCCGAUUUCGUGAAUAUUCUAGCGGAAGAUGCGAUUAAAUUUCCAUUUGAAGUCUCGUUGGAAGAAACAAUAAAUUCUUGGAUCUUUCAAGGUGGAUAUCCACUCGUAACUGUUAUAAGAAAUUACGAAGAAGAAUCCGCCAUCAUUUAUCAGGAACAAUUUGCAAUCGAUCGACCAUCAGAAAGUGUUUCCAAAUUCUGGAAUAUUCCAUUGAAUUACGUUAAUGAAGACGGGGAUUGGUCGAAUCCAAUAAAAAUAUGUUUUCCAUCUGAGCCUAAAAUCGAUUUGCAUGAUAUUGGUUCCAACGAGUCUUGGAUUCUUUUUAACAUAAAUAAGACUGGAUAUUAUCGUGUUCAUUACGACGAAAGAAAUUGGAUGCUGUUAAAAAUGGCUUUUUCGAAAAAUCACGAAUCGUUCCCACCGGAAACAAGAGCCUCGAUCAUAGACGAUAUUUUUAAUCUAGCUGCGAUAGGUUUAAUAAAAUACGAGACCACCUUCGAUUUUAUUAAAUAUAUGCAAAUGAAAGAGAGGCAUUAUUUACCAUGGAUCGCGCUUAUGAGACACUUGUUCAAAUUAAAUAGGCUUUUAUAUGAAACUUCGAUCUUCAAUGAUUUCCAGGAAUUCGUAGUGAGAUUCGUGUCUCCGUUGUACAAUGAAGUAGGAUCAAUGUUGCAGCAAGGCUCGCAUUUAACAAUGAUUGCUAUAAAAUUAGCAUGCACGUUCGAGCAUACGAAAUGUUUAGAUUGGUCGAGAAACAUUUUCGAAAAUGCCAAGUCCAAUAACGAGAUCCAGGAAAUGAUCGAAUUGUUCUAGAAUCCCUUCUUACAUUCGUGAAACGUUUUAUUGUACUAUCGCUCGUUACGGCACAAAAAAGGAAUGGAACUAUUUCACGGAAAAAUUAUCUUCCACAGUCGAUGAGGAGGAAAAGAAACGUUUGUUAUCGUCGUUCUCUUGUUUCCAAGCUUCUUGGAUUUUACAAUCUAUUUUCAACGAAAUACUUCAUGCGGAAC
This 3163-nucleotide unclassified non-coding RNA is filed under the name Apis dorsata (giant honeybee). Its description in RNAcentral is "thyrotropin-releasing hormone-degrading ectoenzyme- like, transcript variant X2". Lineage: Eukaryota; Metazoa; Arthropoda; Insecta; Hymenoptera; Apidae. The record is from RNAcentral.